AUUCCAGCUCCAGUAGCGUAUAUUAAAGUUGUUGCAGUUAAAAAGCUCGUAGUUGGAUUUCUGGCUUGACAGAGCUGGCCCAAGUCUUUAUGGCUCUGCGCGCCGGUCUUUGUCUGCCAUCCUUCUAGAAAGCGUUUCUUGCCCUUCACUGGUCGAGACUCGUGAUCUAGAUCUUUUACUUUGAAGAAAUUAGAGUGUUCAAAGCAGGCUCGCGCUAUGAAUACAUAGCAUGGAAUAAUAAUUUAGGACUUGAUAUCCUAUUUUGUUGGUUUUUAGGAUUUAAGUAAUGAUUGAUAGGGAUAGUUGGGGGUGCUAGUAUUCAGCGGCCAGAGGUGAAAUUCGGUGAUUCGCUGAAGACUAACUUAUGCGAAAGCAUUCACCAAGGAUGUCUUCAUCA
RNAcentral lists this ribosomal RNA (397 nucleotides) under Cercozoa sp. RNAcentral's name for it is "partial small subunit ribosomal RNA". It matches the Rfam family "Eukaryotic small subunit ribosomal RNA", at positions 582 to 975 of the family's 1831-position model. Lineage: Eukaryota; Cercozoa. The record is from RNAcentral.